Molecule: ribosomal RNA, 744 nt
Filed under: uncultured Acidobacteriota bacterium
Lineage: Bacteria; Pseudomonadati; Acidobacteriota
Description: bacterial SSU rRNA
Rfam family: Bacterial small subunit ribosomal RNA
Source: RNAcentral
AGAGUUUGAUCCUGGCUCAGAAUGAACGCUGGCGGCGUGCUUUACACAUGCAAGUUGAGCGAGGCCGGUAGCAAUACCGAGUCGAGCGGCGAACGGGUGAGUAACGCGUGGAUAACCUGCCCUGAGGUGGGGAAUAACCCGGGGAAACUCGGGCUAAUACCGCAUGAUACCGAGAGGUCAAAGAGGGCUCGCAAGGGCUCUUGCCACAGGAGGGGUCCGCGUUCGAUUAGCUAGUUGGUAGGGUAAUGGCCUACCAAGGCGACGAUCGAUAGCCGGCCUGAGAGGGUGAUCGGCCACACUGGAACUGAGACACGGUCCAGACUCCUACGGGAGGCAGCAGUGGGGAAUUUUGCGCAAUGGGCUAACGCCUGACGCAGCAACGCCGCGUGGAGGAUGAAGGUCUUUGGAUUGUAAACUCCUGUCAGCAGGGAAAAAGGGAUAGGGCCUAAUACGUCCUAAACUUGAUUGUACCUGCAGAGGAAGCCCCGGCUAACUCUGUGCCAGCAGCCGCGGUAAUACAGAGGGGGCAAGCGUUAUUCGGAAUUAUUGGGCGUAAAGGGCGCGUAGGCGGCUUUUCAAGUGACGGGUGAAAUCCCUCGGCUUAACCGAGGAACUGCCUGUCAGACUGGAAGGCUUGAGACCGGGAGAGGUGAGUGGAAUUCCCAGUGUAGCGGUGAAAUGCGUAGAUAUUGGGAGGAACACCAGUGGCGAAGGCGGCUCACUGGACCGGAACUGACGCUGAGG